UCGACCCUCCGUCGCUACUCCACCGUUGAAGACCUCCGUCGCUAAUCCACAGGAAUAAAAUAGAAACAUAUAGUACUAAUUUUGAGCUUCAAGUUUCAGCUCUAAAACCCUAAACCUCAAAUUCCAUCAAAAUUCUGGAGAAGAAAUGGCGUUUAGAUCCAAGGAAAUGAUGAAAAAGAUAGUGAAGAAUAUAGGUGGAGAGAAGAACUUGGCAUCUGGAGUUAAAGAACGGCUUGAGAAAUGCGUGCCAAAUGCAAAAGUUGUCAUGGGUCGUGCUCAGCGUGGCCUCUUCGCUGGCCGUCACAUUCAGUUUGGCAAUCGGGUCAGUGAGAAAGGUGGAAAUACGUCUAGGAGGACUUGGAAGCCUAAUGUGCAAGAGAAACGGCUUUUCAGCUACAUCCUCGAUCGCCAAAUUCGUGUGAAGGUUACAACUCAUGCCUUGCGAUGUAUUGACAAGGCAGGUGGUAUUGAUGAGUACCUGCUGAAGACACCUUACCAUGAGAUGGACACUGAAUUAGGCCUGUUCUGGAAAGCUAAGAUUGAGAAGUUGUACGAGGAGCUUGGUAAAAUGGAGGUAGUUUUCUUUACACCCGAAGAAGAAACAAAACUUGAAGAGCAAUUUAAGGAAGUGAAGUUGGAAGAAAGAGCAGCCCGUAGGGAAGCCAGAAGGAAGAUGUAUGGUUGGUCACCAAAAUCAGAGGUAAAAGCAGAUUCUGAAGGAACUGACGGAGAAGGAAGCUUACCAACUGAUUUCCAUGAAGGGAUGGUCGCCAAUGCUUGAAAACACAGAGAAAAUGUUGUUGGCUUCCAAGGUACUUGCUGAUAUGAAGGGCUUCUUUUGUUGGUCGUAGUGUCUUCGUGUUCCUGAUAUUUAUUCAUAUCCAUGAAUUUUGCCUAGCAUCUGCUUUAGUGUAAUGUUUUUCUUGCAUUUCUCUCUACAUUG
RNAcentral lists this unclassified non-coding RNA (943 nucleotides) under Hevea brasiliensis (rubber tree). The record is from RNAcentral. Lineage: Eukaryota; Viridiplantae; Streptophyta; Magnoliopsida; Malpighiales; Euphorbiaceae.